GCUGUCGACUGAAUCCAGGGCCCGGCUCCCCCAGGAAAGCAGCCUAGCGAGCUACGCCGUGGGUGCGGCCUCGCCGCCCCGCCCUCCCCGCCUGCACAGCCGCGCUGCACAGCCGCGCAGGCAUCAGCUGGCCUGCACUCGCCAGCCUCCCACGCACCGGGAUCCCUGUGCCACUAGUCCGUCCCUUUUUGACACGCGAUCGAUUUCUGCUCAUUGAAACGCAAGCUAGAAGGCAACACCCGCAGAUGGACCUCCGCACUCACUGUCCCCUUCCCCAAACCCUCCCGAAUCCGCAGGAGCCGCGGGAAGUCGUUACGGACAGCGAGGUUCGCACGCGGCUUCCCCGUCUCCAGUCACCCGAAGCCGCCUGCUCCUCGGCUGGGGCUCUGGGCGGAGGACGUGAGGCAGGGAGACCCAUCCUCCUGGGUGCCCUGCAGGAAGGAGCCUCGCCACUCCUACAGGACUUUCUGGCCGGGCACAGUCAUCCUCUCUCGCCCAUGACUCUCACUCCCGUCGGACCCUUCUGCUCCCUCUCAAGGAGGAGCAUCGGAAAGCAGGUCCUGGAGAUAGGCCUGUGUGGAUGUCCUCACUAUCCCAAGAUCAGACCCAGAGUGAACAGCUGUCCUGCCUCUUCUUCCGCUUUGUGUGCAGCUCCCCAGCAGGCGGGAGAGAUUCCAAUCCUCCCUACCUGGUAAGCUUAUCCUAAAGAACUCAUUUCUGCAGGACCUGGACAAAACUCCGUUUGUUAUCCGUAAGUAUGGUUUCAUUGGC
This 771-nucleotide long non-coding RNA is filed under the name Fukomys damarensis (Damara mole-rat). RNAcentral's name for it is "lncRNA (ENSFDAG00000029261.1)". Lineage: Eukaryota; Metazoa; Chordata; Mammalia; Rodentia; Bathyergidae. The record is from RNAcentral.